RNAcentral lists this ribosomal RNA (270 nucleotides) under uncultured bacterium. Its description in RNAcentral is "partial 16S ribosomal RNA". The record is from RNAcentral.
CUGCUGCCUUCCGUAGGAGUUUGGGCCGCGUCUCAGUCCCAAUGUGGCCGGUCACCCUCUCAGGUCGGCUACUGAUCGUUGCCUUGGUGGGCUAUUAUCUCACCAACUAGCUAAUCAGAUGCGGGCCCAUCUUUUACCGAAUUACUCCUUUCUUUCUUAGAAGAUGCCUUCCAAGAACCGUAUGCGGUAUUAGUCGUCGUUUCCAACGAUUAUUCCACAGUAAAAGGCAGGUUACCCACACGUUACUCACCCGUCCGCCGCUAAAAUAAA